Molecule: microRNA precursor, 111 nt
Filed under: Picea abies (Norway spruce)
Lineage: Eukaryota; Viridiplantae; Streptophyta; Pinopsida; Pinales; Pinaceae
Description: miR11426b stem-loop (pab-MIR11426b)
Source: miRBase by way of RNAcentral
CUUUUUCAUGGUAUGGACCUGGUUUGUUGAUUCUAAAUAUUUUUCAGUAUUUAAGGUUAGAUACCAAAAAUAUUUAGAAUCAACAAACUCUGGCUCUAUAUUAUGAUAAUG